Molecule: ribosomal RNA, 250 nt
Filed under: uncultured bacterium
Lineage: Bacteria
Description: partial 16S ribosomal RNA
Rfam family: Bacterial small subunit ribosomal RNA
Source: RNAcentral
AACGUAGGAUCCGAGCGUUAUCCGAAUUCACUGGGCGUAAAGCGCGUGCAGGCGGCCGGGCAAGUUGGAUGUGAAAGCUCCUGGCUCAACUGGGAGAGGACGUUCAAGACUGUUCGGCUCGAGGCCGGUAGAGGGAAGUGGAAUUCCCGGUGUAGUGGUGAAAUGCGUAGAUAUCGGGAGGAACACCAGAGGCGAAGGCGGCUUCCUGGACCGGACCUGACGCUCAGACGCGAAAGCUAGGGGAGCGAAC